Molecule: ribosomal RNA, 1554 nt
Filed under: Klebsiella pneumoniae
Lineage: Bacteria; Pseudomonadati; Pseudomonadota; Gammaproteobacteria; Enterobacterales; Enterobacteriaceae
Description: bacterial SSU rRNA
Rfam family: Bacterial small subunit ribosomal RNA
Source: RNAcentral
ACUUAAAUUGAAGAGUUUGAUCAUGGCUCAGAUUGAACGCUGGCGGCAGGCCUAACACAUGCAAGUCGAGCGGUAGCACAGAGAGCUUGCUCUCGGGUGACGAGCGGCGGACGGGUGAGUAAUGUCUGGGAAACUGCCUGAUGGAGGGGGAUAACUACUGGAAACGGUAGCUAAUACCGCAUAACGUCGCAAGACCAAAGUGGGGGACCUUCGGGCCUCAUGCCAUCAGAUGUGCCCAGAUGGGAUUAGCUAGUAGGUGGGGUAACGGCUCACCUAGGCGACGAUCCCUAGCUGGUCUGAGAGGAUGACCAGCCACACUGGAACUGAGACACGGUCCAGACUCCUACGGGAGGCAGCAGUGGGGAAUAUUGCACAAUGGGCGCAAGCCUGAUGCAGCCAUGCCGCGUGUGUGAAGAAGGCCUUCGGGUUGUAAAGCACUUUCAGCGGGGAGGAAGGCGAUAAGGUUAAUAACCUCAUCGAUUGACGUUACCCGCAGAAGAAGCACCGGCUAACUCCGUGCCAGCAGCCGCGGUAAUACGGAGGGUGCAAGCGUUAAUCGGAAUUACUGGGCGUAAAGCGCACGCAGGCGGUCUGUCAAGUCGGAUGUGAAAUCCCCGGGCUCAACCUGGGAACUGCAUUCGAAACUGGCAGGCUAGAGUCUUGUAGAGGGGGGUAGAAUUCCAGGUGUAGCGGUGAAAUGCGUAGAGAUCUGGAGGAAUACCGGUGGCGAAGGCGGCCCCCUGGACAAAGACUGACGCUCAGGUGCGAAAGCGUGGGGAGCAAACAGGAUUAGAUACCCUGGUAGUCCACGCCGUAAACGAUGUCGAUUUGGAGGUUGUGCCCUUGAGGCGUGGCUUCCGGAGCUAACGCGUUAAAUCGACCGCCUGGGGAGUACGGCCGCAAGGUUAAAACUCAAAUGAAUUGACGGGGGCCCGCACAAGCGGUGGAGCAUGUGGUUUAAUUCGAUGCAACGCGAAGAACCUUACCUGGUCUUGACAUCCACAGAACUUUCCAGAGAUGGAUUGGUGCCUUCGGGAACUGUGAGACAGGUGCUGCAUGGCUGUCGUCAGCUCGUGUUGUGAAAUGUUGGGUUAAGUCCCGCAACGAGCGCAACCCUUAUCCUUUGUUGCCAGCGGUUCGGCCGGGAACUCAAAGGAGACUGCCAGUGAUAAACUGGAGGAAGGUGGGGAUGACGUCAAGUCAUCAUGGCCCUUACGACCAGGGCUACACACGUGCUACAAUGGCAUAUACAAAGAGAAGCGACCUCGCGAGAGCAAGCGGACCUCAUAAAGUAUGUCGUAGUCCGGAUUGGAGUCUGCAACUCGACUCCAUGAAGUCGGAAUCGCUAGUAAUCGUAGAUCAGAAUGCUACGGUGAAUACGUUCCCGGGCCUUGUACACACCGCCCGUCACACCAUGGGAGUGGGUUGCAAAAGAAGUAGGUAGCUUAACCUUCGGGAGGGCGCUUACCACUUUGUGAUUCAUGACUGGGGUGAAGUCGUAACAAGGUAACCGUAGGGGAACCUGCGGUUGGAUCACCUCCUUACCUUAAAGAA